This is a long non-coding RNA of Equus caballus (horse), 4826 nucleotides long. Lineage: Eukaryota; Metazoa; Chordata; Mammalia; Perissodactyla; Equidae. The record is from Ensembl.
CCUUUCCUCCUCUUACAACCGAGAAGCUUGGUCCCAGGAUCCCAUCCUCUCCCAUCUCCUCAGGACCUUGCAUCAUGCUGGUCGCAUCCAUAUGCAACAUCUCUCUCAAAACUGGGCCCUUCCCACUGAUAUGCUCAGUCUCUGCCAUCUUAAAAGAUAUCUUCCCUUCAUCCCAUAAGCCCUUGUCUCCAUCUGUUUCUUCCCUUCCACAGCAUCUUGAUAGAGUUGAAUACGCACUAGCUCCAUUUCCUCAUCUUGUAUUGUCGUGUUAGUCUUCCAUUUCUCCACAGAAUCGGCCCUUGGUAAGAACCACAGGGUCCAUGUUUCUAAAUUCAAUAAUGCUUUGCAGUCUUCAUCUUGUGAUGUCACUCCCUCCUCAAAAUGCUGCCUUCCAGCUGGUGUCUGUGACAGCACACUCUCCUGAUUGUCCUCCUGUCUGUGGCUGCUCCCUCUCAGUCUCUGUGGUGGGUUGAAUUAAGCCUCCCAAAUGAUGUGAUCAAAGUCCUAACCCCCGGCACCUGGGAACGUGACCUUAUUUGGAAACAGGGUCUUUGCACAUGUAAUCAAGUUAAGAUGAGGUCAUCAGGGUGGGCCCUAAUCCAAUAACUGGUGUCCUUAUGUAUAAGAAGAUUAGGACACAGAGGGAAGAUGGCCAUGUGAUGACGGAGGCAGACAUUGGAGGCAGAGAAAACGCAUCCACAAAACAAGGAAAUCCUGAGGCUGGCCCCGUGGCCCAGUGGUUAAGUUCGCUCACUCCGCUUCGGCGGCCCAGGGUUUCGUCGGUUCAGAUGCUGGGCGCAGACACGGCACUGCUCAUCAGGCCAUGCUGAGGCGGCGUCCCACGUAGCACAACCAGAGGCACUCAAAGAAGACUGGCAACAGAUGUUAGCUCAGGUGCCAAUCUUUAAAAACAAACAAACAGGUUCUGAGGCCAAGUUCAACCAGAAGCCUUGCUUUCUCAAGACAGUGCAGAAGGAGAAGGGACCUGAGCAGCUGGAGAGAAGACCAAGGAGACCUCCUCCACAUCUAUGCUUCAGCCACGGCUUCUCCACCUGUAAAUCCUCCCCGGCUUUCCGAGCUGAGCUCAGACCUGACUCCUGCGGGGAAGCCAUGUGCAGCGGAUGCUGUCAGUGCCCUCCCACAUCCCCGGCGCUCCUCACGCCUCCAUCAGCUUCCCACUGCGGCUGCUGUCUCCCACGUGCUCUCUCUGGCUGCAAGAGUGAGUGGGGCAGAGCAGUGGAGAAUGAAUGCUCCAGGAGCCACCCUCCAGCAAUGAUGGAUGGGAGUUGGAGAAUACACAACUCAGCUUCCUCACCCCCUCAGUGACCUAGAGCAUCUUCCAGAGGCCCCAGCAGACUAAACCUCACUUGCCCACAGGAUCACGUGCUCAUCAACUUGCACCAUAUUGGCUUUUGUCUCUGUCUCAUGUCUCCCCUCUCCUACCACACUUCCUGAGGUCAUCUCCCAAAAAGACUGCUAGCCCUCAAAUCCUUAUCUCAGGGGAAAUCUAACCGAGACACUGAGUCUGAAUCACCAGCCUGGCACGGAUUCUCCAGGCAAACAUCUUACCUGACUUCACCUGAGCAACAGCCUGAUCCAAGCUUAGUCCUUAGAAGUUGACCAGAUGGCAAAUUGAAGACAAAGCUUGACAAGAAUUUGAAGGGAGGAACGUGACAGUGCUGUGGAGAGACGGGGGAAAGUCAGCCUGGCCUAGACUUCUUCACACCAGUUUGGUGGGCGGGAACAGCCAGCCUCCGCGAUGUGACUCAUUUUGUGCGACACAGAAAUCAUCCUUGCAGCCUCGUAGCUGACCUUGUGUCCCUCUAGUCUUUCAGGGAAACGCCGUCUCUAACGCACACCAGUAAAUCCGAGCCAGGCUGAACUCUGCCUAGACUACCUCAGGUCGGAGAAAUCAAGCCUGGACACACUCUCCCGGAGAAAUAUUGGUGAGUUUCAAACAACUUGCCUAUAACCAGUUAUAUAACUAGUCCUACCACUAGUAAGGAGCAGAGCUAGCAUCUGAACUCAAGUUUGUGUGACUCCAGAGCCCAUGGCCUUAAACACUGCCCUCAGCUAGAGAAAAUGGGCUUCUAGCAAAAAAGAAGAGUUGAAGUCCACAAUGACUUGAAGUCAACAAGAAUUCCUCAGUCUCUACAGAAAUAGGAAGUGUUCAACCCAGCUCUCUCACGGAGGAAGGCAGCCCCUCUAGGAAAGAGGAGAUUCGGCUUUCUAAGCUGCCAGUUCAGCAUGGCAGUGGAGGAGGCAGCAGAGAAGCAUACCUUUAAAACUGCUGAUGGGCAGAGAGGAGGCUUGUAGGGAGGCUGCAGACUGUGGACUCCAUGCAUUUUCUGGGGCGGCGUUCAUUACUCACGGAACUUUGGCAGGUUGAAGCCUGCUUACCUCUCCCGGAGGACAACUGCUCCGGCUAAUGGAAUUCUCCUGCUUUCCUAUGGCUCUGUUUUGUUAUCUUUAGGCACUGAGUGAAGUGGCAUGUGCCAGUGGGGGUGGCAGCUGCCCCUGCUGUUACUGUCCUGGCAUGGCUAUGACCCUUCUUUCUGUAUCAGCAUCAAGAGGAUGCCGUCGUCCCAUGACGCCAAGCAAAGCCCGCCGCCCACCUCACAGAGAGCACCAGGUUGUCUCCAAAUCCUUUCCUUUCGCCAUUAACUGUGAAACACCCAGCACAGGAGAUGAAGGUGAAAAGACCAGUAAAUGAAUGCAUUUCUGCAUCCUGAUGUUACUAUAUUUGACACCACAAAAUCAAGAGACUGGCUGCCACAGACUUAAUAGCUCCAUGAAUUGGACAGGUAGACCCGAGCCACAGGGCACCAUGGUCCUCUCGGCUUCUCCCUGCUGCCAGCUCCACGGCCGACAUCGCCACUGGAGGCUCAGUGCGGGGGGAGUCACGAAGCCUGAGAGCCCUGUGCUCUGAGCAUCGGGCUCCAACUGGAAAACAGGCUGCUGCCUUCCUUUCCUUCCAGGCAAUAACGUAGCAGGAACUGAAGGAUUCUUAAAAGGAAAAUGAACAGCAGAAAGAUUGGUGCCAUUGCUAUUUCCAGCAGACCGAACAGCCUACAGAGAAUCGUCAAGAUGGGCAAACUAACAUGGACAAAAUGUUGAGUUUUCCACAUCAACAGUAAAGUUCCCCUUAUAAAUGAAAGCAAGACUCAUUAUCUUGUAGCUAGAACUUUAGAUUUCAUAGAGGUUUUCCCAUUUUUUUAAAUUAUACUUUCCACAGUUUUUACCCACGGGGUAACUAACUGACUAAUGUACUUCUCAUCUUAUUUCCGGCCGAAUUAGCAGACAGAGUGAUUACCUGCUACCAGACACACAGUAAGUCAGUGGGAAAAUCUAAAUUAGAACUCAAUGCCUUUUGAGUUCUCAACUUCCUUUUCUCUGUUGAGCCACACAGAUAAGAAUAUUCAAUAGACCAGGAAAUGUGCGUGGCCUCACUGCAAAUUCUACAAUUUUAUAAAUCUUUCAGGAAAUUUUUGAAACAUCAUAAACCAUAAAGUCAUAUUUUGAGUAGUUUGUCACCAGAUCUUCCAGGAUGCCUACCACAGCAUGGCGUGCCAAGCGGUGCCACGUCCACACCCAGGAUCUGAACCGGCGAACCCUGGGCUGCCAAGAAGCGGAAUGUGUGCACUUAACCACUGGGUCACUGGGCCAGCCCCAGAAACAUCCUUUUAAUAUUCAACAGAUCUUUACUAAGGCCUGCUCCCACCUCUGGACUUGGAACCUGUUCCCUCUGCCUGGAAUGUCUGUCCCCCUCUCUGCAGGGGGCGGCUAACUGCCUCCCCCUCCAGAAACAGGACAAAAGGGCAGCUGCUGAAACAUUUGGCUGUGCCGAGGGGUAGUGGGCUCAACGUGCUGGAGCUCUGCACAUGACCAGCUUGAGUUUGUAUCCACAGCUACAGGACAGGACUUUAUGGAAGCACUUUGCCAAGCCAUGUGGUGUUCGGCUUCCCUUUGCAUCAAUACCCUUUUAAUUACCUGAUCCUGAGGGGACAAAAGUUAGAGAAAAGUGUCAGUGCAAAAGCCUAGGAACCCGCCGAGAAUCCAAUUUUUUUUUAAAUCAUUAUGGUACACUGUCUGGCAAUUAUUCUACAGAACAUCAAUAUAAAUCCUGCAACUGGCCUGCGAAGAUGCUCUCUGUUGAGGAAGUCACAACUGGAAAUUUGGUCAGAAGCAGGGACUGCUCUUUCAAAGCAAAAUCAUACUCAAGGCUCUUCGCUGGAACACUCUGGAAAGGCAAGGAGCUCUCCUCUCAGCAGCAGCCUGCAGUCUGAGAGGAACCUGGACAAGCUGCUUUGAGAGACAAGCAUCAAAGAUCCUUCAGGAAGAGACUGAAGCAAGACCUAUCUUUUAUUUCAUCUGACACUGUCUUUGGUUUCUUCAUUAGGGUGACACGUAGAUCCCUGAAGUCUUGCUCUCCGAGUAAACGUGAGCUUGGUCCAAAGAAGGAGUGUGCUCUUUCCCAUCAUUGUGCUGUUUUGUGGUCAGAGGUGCAGAGAAAAACUUAAGAAGUGUCAAACCACCUCAUUCCUAGGAAUAGUAGCUGAAAAAGCCUCUUCUUUCAGCACCAGUGGAAAAGAGAAAGAGAGAUUGGUUAGACAUGAAAUCUCCUAAGAUUUCUUAUGCUCUGAGACUGUGUUUAGAGAAGAAAGCACACGAAGGGUGCUUCCUGAAUAUGCACAUGCCAGUCAUUUGGUAUUCCACACGUCCUGCUAUCCAAGGUCCAUUAACAAACCACUGGAUGACUAAUAAACCAGUAUCUAUUUGGCACCUACCACACAUGAAGAAAUAUGCUAGAUAUUGUAACAUCUAAU